GCGGGAUUAACUCAGUUGGUAGAGUGUCAGCUUCCCAAGCUGAAUGUCGCCGGUUCGAACCCGGUAUCCCGCU
RNAcentral lists this transfer RNA (73 nucleotides) under Pseudomonadota bacterium. RNAcentral's name for it is "tRNA-Gly". It matches the Rfam family "tRNA". From Rfam's summary of the family: Transfer RNA (tRNA) molecules are approximately 80 nucleotides in length. Lineage: Bacteria; Pseudomonadati; Pseudomonadota. The record is from RNAcentral. RNAcentral also lists the same sequence under 4 other names.